GGGGUUCGAUUCCGGAGAGUUAGCCUGAGAGAUGGCUAACACUUCCAAGGAAGGCAGCAGGCGCGCAAAUUACCCAAUCCUGAUUCGGGGAGGUAGUGACAAGAAAUACCAUUGUAGGACACUACGUGUACUAUAUUUGGAAUGAGUACAAUUUAAACACCUUAACGAGAACCCAUUGGAGGGCAAGUCUGUGCCAGCAGCCGCGGUAAUUCCAGCUCCAAUAGUGUAUAUUAAAGUUGCUGCAGUUAAAAAGCUCGUAGUUGGAUUUCGGAAUGCGGUGGUCAAAGUCCGUCUCAAUGGCGUGGCUGGACGGCCGCUUCCUUACUUUGGUGUGGUGGCCCGUGUGCCCGCAAGGGUGUGCGGAGUCCGCUCCCAAUCAUUUACUUUGAAAAAAUUAGAGUGUUCAAAGCAGGCGUAACCUGGCCUUUGAAUAAUACAGCAUGGGAUAAUGAAAGAGGACAUUGGUCUUAUUUUGUUGGUUUCUAAGGCUGAUGUAAUGAUUAAUAGGGAUAGUUGGGGUCGCUCGUAUUGAGUUGUCAGAGGUGAAAUUCUAGGAUUGACUCAAGACGAACAAGUGCGAAAGCAUUCGACAAGGAUGUUUUCAUUAAUCAAGAACGAAAGUUGGGGGAUCGAAGAUGAUCAGAUACCGUCGUAGUCUCAACCAUAAACUAUGUGGACCAAGGAUCCGAGGACGUUACAUGGAUGACUCUCCGGGCACUUUGUGAGAAAUCAUAAGUAUUUGCAUUCCGGGGGGAGUAUGGUCGCAAGGCUGAAACUUAAAGGAAUUGACGGAAGGGCACCACCAGGAGUGGAACCUGCGGCUUAAUUUGACUCAACACGGGGAAACUUACCAGGUCCGGACACAUGGAGGAUUGACAGAUUGAGAGCUCUUUCUUGAUUAUGUGGGUGGUGGUGCAUGGCCGUUUUUAGUCCGUAGAGUGAUUCGUCUGGUUAAUUCCGUUAACGAACGAGACCUUAACCUAUUAAUUAGUGAUGCAAACUGGGCCUUCGGGUCCGCCAAGUUUGUAGUAAAGUUACACUUCUUAGAGGGACUCUCGGCAUCUCUAGCCGAUGGAAGUUUGAGGCAAAAACAGGUCUGUGAUGCCCUUAGAUGUCCUGGGCUGCACGCGCGUUACACUGACGAUUGCAACGAGUGUUUGUCCUUGCCCGAUGGGGCUGGGUAAGCUUUGAAAAGAUCGUCGUGAUGGGGAUUGAACCUUGCAAUUAUUGUUCAUGAACGAGGAAUUCCUAGUAAGCGCAAUUCAUCAAAUUGUGCUGAUUACGUCCCUGCCCUUUGUACACACCGCCCGUCGCUCCUACCGAUUGAAUGGUCCGGUGAGGACUCAGGACGGCAGUACUUUAACUUGGCAGCAAUGUCAAGUGGGUACAGCCGAAAUCUGUUCGAACCUUACCAUUUAGAGGAAGGAGAAGUCGUAACAAGGUU
RNAcentral lists this ribosomal RNA (1444 nucleotides) under metagenome. RNAcentral describes it as "SSU rRNA". It matches the Rfam family "Eukaryotic small subunit ribosomal RNA", at positions 372 to 1801 of the family's 1831-position model. The record is from RNAcentral.